This 468-nucleotide ribosomal RNA is filed under the name uncultured bacterium. Its description in RNAcentral is "partial 16S ribosomal RNA". It matches the Rfam family "Bacterial small subunit ribosomal RNA", at positions 28 to 507 of the family's 1533-position model. The record is from RNAcentral.
GACGAACGCUGGCGGCGUGCUUAACACAUGCAAGUCGAACGGAAAGGCCCUGCUUUUGUGGGGUGCUCGAGUGGCGAACGGGUGAGUAACACGUGAGUAACCUGCCCUUGACUUUGGGAAAACUUCAGGAAACUGGGGCUAAUACCGGAUAGGAGCUCCUGCUGCAUGGUGGGGGUUGGAAAGUUUCGGCGGUUGGGGAUGGACUCGCGGCUUAUCAGCUUGUGGGUGGGGUAGUGGCUUACCAAGGCUUUGACGGGUAGCCGGCGUGAGAGGGUGACCGGCCACAUUGAGACUGAGAUACGGCCCAGACUCCUACGGGGGGCAGCAGUGGGGAAUAUUGCACAAUGGGCGGAAGCCUGAUGCAGCAACGCCGCGUGCGGGAUGACGGCCUUCGGGUUGUAAACCGCUUUCGCCUGUGACGAAGCGUGAGUGACGGUAAUGGGUAAAGAAGCACCGGCUAACUACGUG